GGUAUUUUGACCGUGCAAAGGUAGCAUAAUCAUUAGUUUUUUAAUUGAAAGCUGGAAUGAAAGGUUGGAUGAAAAAUAAGCUGUCUCUAUUUAAUUUUAUUAGAAUUUUAUUUUUAAGUUAAAAAGCUUAAAUUUUAAUAGAAGACGAGAAGACCCUAUAGAGUUUUAUUUAUUUUUUAUAUAAGAUUAAUAGUAUAAAUUAUUUUUAUUUAAAAUAUAAAUUUAGUUGGGGUGAUUGAAAAAUUUGAUAAACUUUUUUUGUAUAUAAACAUUAAUUUAUGAUUAAUUGAUCCUUAAUUUAAGAUUAAAAGAUAAAAUUACCUUAGGGAUAACAGCGUAAUUUUUUUUGAGAGUUCAAAUCGAAAAAAAAGAUUGCGACCUCGAUGUUGGAUUAAAAUAAAAUUUUGGUGUAGAAGCUGAAA
RNAcentral lists this ribosomal RNA (422 nucleotides) under Laparocerus curvipes famarae. Its description in RNAcentral is "partial 16S ribosomal RNA". The record is from RNAcentral. Lineage: Eukaryota; Metazoa; Arthropoda; Insecta; Coleoptera; Curculionidae.